CCUACGGGAGGCAGCAGUGGGGAAUUUUGGACAAUGGGCGCAAGCCUGAUCCAGCAAUGCCGCGUGAGUGAAGAAGGCCUUCGGGUUGUAAAGCUCUUUUGUCAGGGAAGAAACGGUGAAGGCUAAUAUCCUUUGCUAAUGACGGUACCUGAAGAAUAAGCACCGGCUAACUACGUGCCAGCAGCCGCGGUAAUACGUAGGGUGCAAGCGUUAAUCGGAAUUACUGGGCGUAAAGCGUGCGCAGGCGGUUUUGUAAGUUUGUCGUGAAAUCCCCGGGCUCAACCUGGGAAUGGCGAUGAAGACUGCAAGGCUAGAAUCUGGCAGAGGGGGGUAGAAUUCCACGUGUAGCAGUGAAAUGCGUAGAGAUGUGGAGGAACACCGAUGGCGAAGGCAGCCCCCUGGGUCAAGAUUGACGCUCAUGCACGAAAGCGUGGGGAGCAAACAGGAUUAGAUACCCUGGUAGUCCACGCCCUAAACGAUGUCUACUAGUUGUCGGGUUUUAAUUAACUUGGUAACGCAGCUAACGCGUGAAGUAGACCGCCUGGGGAGUACGGUCGCAAGAUUAAAACNCAAAGAGUAGUAGCGUGNGAGUAGCGACGAGACACGACGGAGGUUAGAGG
Molecule: ribosomal RNA, 620 nt
Filed under: uncultured bacterium
Lineage: Bacteria
Description: bacterial SSU rRNA
Rfam family: Bacterial small subunit ribosomal RNA
Source: RNAcentral